GUGGGGAAUAUUCCGCAAUGGACGAAAGUCUGACGGAGCAACGCCGCGUGAGUGAUGAAGGUUUUCGGACUGUAAAGCUCUGUUGUUUAGGACGAAAGUGCCUGUUGCGAAUAGUUACAGGUAUUGACGGUACUGAACGAGGAAGCCACGGCUAACUACGUGCCAGCAGCCGCGGUAAUACGUAGGUGGCAAGCGUUGUCCGGAAUUUUUGGGAGUAAAGAGCAUGUAGGCGGGAAUCUAAGUCUGUUGUGAAAAUGCGGGGCUCAACCCCGUAUUGCGAUAGAAAGUGGGUUUCUUGAGUGCAGGAGAGGAAAGGGGAAUUCCCAGUGUAGCGGUGAAAUGCGUAGAUAUUGGGAGGAACACCAGUGGCGAAGGCGCCUUUCUGGACUGUGUCUGACGCUGAGAUGCGAAAGCCAGGGUAGCGAACGGGAUUAGAAACCCCAGUAGUCC
Molecule: ribosomal RNA, 450 nt
Filed under: uncultured bacterium
Lineage: Bacteria
Description: partial 16S ribosomal RNA
Rfam family: Bacterial small subunit ribosomal RNA
Source: RNAcentral